Molecule: transfer RNA, 57 nt
Filed under: Capra hircus (goat)
Lineage: Eukaryota; Metazoa; Chordata; Mammalia; Artiodactyla; Bovidae
Also listed under: 1 other name
Rfam family: tRNA
About the family: Transfer RNA (tRNA) molecules are approximately 80 nucleotides in length. Their secondary structure includes four short double-helical elements and three loops (D, anti-codon, and T loops). Further hydrogen bonds mediate the characteristic L-shaped molecular structure. tRNAs have two regions of fundamental functional importance: the anti-codon, which is responsible for specific mRNA codon recognition, and the 3' end, to which the tRNAs corresponding amino acid is attached (by aminoacyl-tRNA synthetases). tRNAs cope with the degeneracy of the genetic code in two manners: having more than one tRNA (with a specific anti-codon) for a particular amino acid; and 'wobble' base-pairing, i.e. permitting non-standard base-pairing at the 3rd anti-codon position.
Source: Rfam by way of RNAcentral
UGGCUCAGAGGUUAAAGCAUCUGCCUGCAAUGCAGGAGACCUGGGUUCAAUCCCUUG